AGAAGAGGGGGCACCUUUCAGCAACCCCUUUCUACUGAACUGUGGGGAGAAGUACCACCAGUCCUUUGCCAUGGGAUGACGCUUGAAGGUGUAGAGUAUCUAAACAAGGAAAGGGUGGGCCGGACUUCGACUAUAUGACAAAGAGAGAGGAACCCUAUCAAAAACCUAAAGGAGUUCGGUGCAACCAAAGCCAAAGAAAUGUCCAGAAACUGAAAAAGAGGAAUGACAAAAGGCAG
Molecule: long non-coding RNA, 236 nt
Filed under: Elaeis guineensis (African oil palm)
Lineage: Eukaryota; Viridiplantae; Streptophyta; Magnoliopsida; Arecales; Arecaceae
Description: long non-coding RNA (EGUI_LNC082496)
Source: RNAcentral